RNAcentral lists this ribosomal RNA (550 nucleotides) under uncultured bacterium. RNAcentral describes it as "bacterial SSU rRNA". It matches the Rfam family "Bacterial small subunit ribosomal RNA", at positions 355 to 896 of the family's 1533-position model. The record is from RNAcentral.
UGGGGAAUAUUGGACAAUGGGCGCAAGCCUGAUCCAGCCAUACCGCGUGGGUGAAGAAGGCCUUCGGGUUGUAAAGCCCUUUUGUUGGGAAAGAAAUCCAGCUGGCUAAUACCCGGUUGGGAUGACGGUACCCAAAGAAUAAGCACCGGCUAACUUCGUGCCAGCAGUCGCGGUAAUACGAAGGGUGCAAGCGUUACUCGGAAUUACUGGGCGUAAAGCGUGCGUAGGUGGUCGUUUAAGUCCGUUGUGAAAGCCCUGGGCUCAACCUGGGAACUGCAGUGGAUACUGGGCGACUAGAGUGUGGUAGAGGGUAGCGGAAUUCCUGGUGUAGCAGUGAAAUGCGUAGAGAUCAGGAGGAACAUCCAUGGCGAAGGCAGCUACCUGGACCAACACUGACACUGAGGCACGAAAGCGUGGGGAGCAAACAGGAUUAGAUACCCUGGUAGUCCACGCCCUAAACGAUGCGAACUGGAUGUUGGGUGCAAUUUGGCACGCAGUAUCGAAGCUAACGCGUUAAGUUCGCCGCCUGGGGAGUACGGUCGCAAGACUG